UUGUAAUUUGGAGAAGGUGCUUCGGAAGAGAUGAUGGUCCAAGUACCUUGGAACAGGUCGUCGCAGAGGGUGAGAAUCCCGUAUGUGACCAAUCAUCGAUUCCAUGUGAAGCCCUUUCGACGAGUCGAGUUGUUUGGGAAUGCAGCUCUAAGUGGGUGGUAAAUUCCAUCUAAAGCUAAAUAUCUGCCAGAGACCGAUAGCGCACAAGUAGAGUGAUCGAAAGAUGAAAAGCACUUUGAAAAGAGAGUCAAACAGUACGUGAAAUUGUUGAAAGGGAAGCGUUUGCAAUCAGACUCGUUUGCAGAAGCUCAGCCCUCUUUCGGGAUGGUGUAUUCUUCUGUCAAUGGGCCAGCAUCAGUUUCGGCGGUUGGAUAAAGACUUUGGGAACGUAGCUCUCUUCGGAGAGUGUUAUAGCCCGGAGUGUAAUGCAGCUAGCUGAGACUGAGGUCCGCGCUUUUGCUAGGAUGCUGGCGUAAUGGUUGCUAGCGACCCGUCUUGAAACACGGACCAGUAAGUUCCUUACUAUCGAUAAUAUUGAACCCAUGCUAAUGGCUAUGCAGAGGAGUCGACCAAUGACGCGAGUGUUUGGGUGUCAAACCCAUGCGCGCAAUGAAAGUGAACGCAGGUGGGACCUUCGGGGCACCAUCGACCGAUCUUGAUGUCUUCGGAUGGAUUUGAGUAUGAGCAUUUUUGGUCGGACCCGAAAGGUAGAUUCCCUUAUUCUCUUGCUAAGCAAUUAUUAAUGUUCUUCUAGAUGGUGAACUAUGCGUGGAUAGGGUGAAGCCAGAGGAAACUCUGGUGGAGGCUCGCAGCGGUUCUGACGUGCAAAUCGAUCGUCAAAUCUGCGCAUAGGGGCGAAAGGUAAGAGAUUAAAGACUGAAUUUAAUUGGCUUUAGAACACUAACAUCAUCUUAGACUAAUCGAACCGUCUAGUAGCUGGUUCCUGCCGAAGUUUCCCUCAGGAUAGCAGCAACGAAUAUAGCAGUCUCAUGAGGUAGAGCAACGAUUAGAGGCCUUGGGGGUUAUUGACCCUUAACCUAUUCUCGAACUUCGAAUAUGUGAGAAGUCCUUGUUACUUAAUUGAA
Molecule: ribosomal RNA, 1085 nt
Filed under: Graphis tsunodae
Lineage: Eukaryota; Fungi; Ascomycota; Lecanoromycetes; Ostropales; Graphidaceae
Description: eukaryotic LSU rRNA
Rfam family: Eukaryotic large subunit ribosomal RNA
Source: RNAcentral